UACGAAGGGGGCUAGCGUUGCUCGGAAUUACUGGGCGUAAAGCGCACGUAGGCGGAUUGUUAAGUCGGGGGUGAAAUCCUGGAGCUCAACUCCAGAACUGCCUUCGAUACUGGCGAUCUCGAGUUCGGGAGAGGUGAGUGGAACUGCGAGUGUAGAGGUGAAAUUCGUAGAUAUCGAGAGGAACACCUGCGGCGAAGGCGGGUUGCUGGGCCGACACUGACGCUGAUGCGCGAAAGCCAGGGGAGCGAACGGG
This 253-nucleotide ribosomal RNA is filed under the name uncultured bacterium. RNAcentral's name for it is "partial 16S ribosomal RNA". It matches the Rfam family "Bacterial small subunit ribosomal RNA", at positions 524 to 776 of the family's 1533-position model. The record is from RNAcentral.